RNAcentral lists this long non-coding RNA (306 nucleotides) under Brassica napus (rape). RNAcentral describes it as "long non-coding RNA (BNAP_LNC003214)". The record is from RNAcentral. Lineage: Eukaryota; Viridiplantae; Streptophyta; Magnoliopsida; Brassicales; Brassicaceae.
GUUUUACACCUCAUUUAAUCUGUUAAAACAACUAGACACGAGCUUUGUGACCAUCAACAAAAAGCAUGUCGUCUGAAGCAUAUCUAAAAGUCAUGUUAUCAUUUAGUUUAGCCCUCACCCUCUCUGACAAUCGCUAGACAAUCCUUUCAGCAAAUACACAGAUUCUAGAAAAUUGGCUCCGUCACAGAUUUGUUGCCUUGAGGUACCAAUUCACCUUCAUCGAUGGUCUAAUCGGCCCCUUGAGAAAUCUUUGCGUUCUUUGCAGGGAGAUCCGACGGGUCUAUAUUUUCGCUGCAGUAACCCCGU